CCCUUAGAUGUCCUGGGCCGCACGCGUGCUACACUGACGCCUACAGCGAGUACUUCCCAGCCCCGAGAGGCGGCUGGUAAUCAGCAAUAGGCGUCGUGAUGGGGAUAGAUCUUUGGAAUUAUGGAUCUUGAACGAGGAAUGCCUAGUAAGCGCAGGUCAUUAGCCUGCGCUGAUUACGUCCCUGCCCUUUGUACACACCGCCCGUCGCACCUACCGAUUGAAUGGUCCGGUGAAAUCUCGGGACGGCGGCUUGGUCGCUUGCGUCCGACUGCUGAAACUUGAUUAAACCAUAUCAUUUAGAGGAAGGUGAAGUCGUAACA
Molecule: ribosomal RNA, 320 nt
Filed under: uncultured eukaryote
Lineage: Eukaryota
Description: partial 18S ribosomal RNA
Rfam family: Eukaryotic small subunit ribosomal RNA
Source: RNAcentral